AACCAUUCUCACCUGCGGCUAGACCUGCGGAAGGAUCAUUAUCGUUGGGCUCCUGCCCAUUCGAGAUAACACCCUUGCCUUUUUGAGUACCUUUUCGUUUCCUCGGCAGGCACGCCUGCCAACGGGGACCCUUCAAAACGCUUUGUAAUACCUGUCAUUGUCUGAUAUAACAUGCAAAAAUCAAAACUUUUAGCAACGGAUCU
Molecule: unclassified non-coding RNA, 203 nt
Filed under: soil metagenome
Description: partial contains 5.8S ribosomal RNA, internal transcribed spacer 2, and large subunit ribosomal RNA
Source: RNAcentral